Molecule: ribosomal RNA, 470 nt
Filed under: bacterium ROME1151sh
Lineage: Bacteria
Description: bacterial SSU rRNA
Rfam family: Bacterial small subunit ribosomal RNA
Source: RNAcentral
UGAUCAUGGCUCAGGAUGAACGCUGGCGGCGUGCCUAGCACAUGCAAGUCGAGCGUGAUUGCUAUGAGGUGAGACUUCGGUCAAAGCGAGUAGCAUGAAAGCGCGGACGGGUGAGUAACGCGUGGCAACCUGCCCCAUACACGGGAAUAGCCACUGGAAACGGUGAUUAAUGCCCGAUAAGACCACGGCACCUCAUGGUGAUGUGGCCAAAGAUUUAUCGGUAUGGGAUGGGCCCGCGUCUGAUUAGCUAGUUGGUGAGGUAACGGCUCACCAAGGCGACGAUCAGUAACCGACCUGAGAGGGCGGACGGUCACACUGGAACUGAGACACGGUCCAGACUCCUACGGGAGGCAGCAGUGGGGAAUAUUGCACAAUGGGCGCAAGCCUGAUGCAGCAACGCCGCGUGAGUGAAGAAGGCCUUCGGGUCGUAAAGCUCUGUCCUGUGGACGAAACAAAUGACGGUACCACAG